CCCACGACACUUGAGUGCUUUCUGCAUGACUGUACUGUGAAGUAGUUGGCCACUGGUAAACCAUCUCUAGCUUCACAUUAACAGACCCAGAGAUGCUCUAUCUGCCUCUAAAACACACAGUGGCUGUCCCAUGAGCACUCACUUCUCCGAAUGUAUGCCUCCAGCAGUGCAGGGCAUUAUGGCCCUUCUGAAUAAGUCCAGCAAUUGCCUAUACAGGCUUUAGGAGCCUGAUCUUGAGUGCUGUGGAUCUGAGAAGACUAUUCCAAUCCUAAGCAGUUCCAAGAGGAUUUUCCCUGACCCUCCAGCCCUCUUCUGCCACAAAAUGGCUCUCUAUUCAUUCUAAAAUGGACCAGAAAGCAGAAGGAUUGCCCUUGUUUGAAAAAUAAUGCCCUUGUUUGAGGAGUCCAGGCCAAGUAACUUCAUGCAGAAGGGAAGCUUCACCAUUUGGACAGGAGCUGAGCAGAUGUGACCUCAAUGUCUGCACUGCAUUAAAGCUUCGGUGUAAAUCUGAUGACCUCAUCUCCCCACAGCCUGUGAUUAAUUCUAUUUAUAAAAUACAGCUCAGCAGAUCAAAGUUAAUCCUUUCCAUGCCAAGUGGGGAGUACACAGUGAUGGGUCACUCUGUCAAAGGGUAGGAAACUAAAUCAGGCUGCUGUUCUUCAUCACGGAGUAGGAUACAGGGCUUUUACCUUCAAGAGGAAAGGUUUAAUGACUUUGAAGAACUUGUAAUGCCCAUUUCUUGAUACCCUUAAAUUCUAUUUCAAUUUUUUACUAUCUUCAAAAAAUAUAAAAUUCCUCAAAUAUCAGACUCAUAUUUUUAUUUGUUGCACCAUACAGCUUCCAAUACCUCACCAAUACACACACACACACACACACACACACACACACACGUUUGUAGAUCCCAUGCCUUUGAAAGAACUCUACGAAAAGGUAUGCCACUUAUCCAGCCAGAGGAUCUUGGCAAAAAUGGAGCCUCUCUCUCUAGUUCCAUUUGGACUUCACUGGGAGGAUGCAACUUGGCAAAACACAGCGAUACUGGGCUGCAAAUGGUUUGUAAAAACAUCAAUGGUCCCACAUGGGAGUCAGUACAUCUACCAUUCGAACUAGAUUGCAUUGGCUCUGUUGGGAGUAAUAUGGGUGCAUGUAUGCAGUUAUCACUAAAAGGCUUUUCAUACUGUGACAAUCAGAUCCUCUGGUGCUCAGAUAUUGCAUUCAUUUUCUAACUCAUUCAUCAUGUGAAUGGAAUGAGGAAAUAAUGGGAUCUGUUCAUCAUACUUAUCCAUCAUUUAGUGAGGACACCACGUUCAGCUUUUUUGGAUGAAAAAAGAAAGAUAAGUAAGAGGCUUAGCACUCCUAACAUCUGACAGUCCUAGCACCUCGUGAGGACAAACGUCACUCAGGAACCAUAUCACAACAGACAAGUCCUUGAGAAAGAGGGAAGAUGAUGAAUCUAGCAGAGCCCACCAGGCAAUUCUGGGCAGGCACACCUUCAAAACCCUCCUUCUUAUUUUACCACAUUCUCGAUAAAUCUUUUAGUUACAUUAAAAUAUUCUCAACUAAAUUAGAAUAAAAUUGUAUAUCUUUUGGCCUUGUAAAUCCACUUUCAAGAAUUUAUUCUUAAAAAAUCAGAAAUGUACAUAAAUACAAAUGUUCAAGAAUGUUCAUUCCUGUGAUAUUUUAAAUAGUGAAAAAUUGGAAAUGACCUAAAUUUCCAGGAAGUUUAGAUUACUUAAAUAGAUUAUAAUAGAGCAUGUAUCAUAAACAAUAUUUGUG
RNAcentral lists this long non-coding RNA (1773 nucleotides) under Homo sapiens (human). RNAcentral describes it as "HSALNT0210570". The record is from RNAcentral. Lineage: Eukaryota; Metazoa; Chordata; Mammalia; Primates; Hominidae.